CAAUAGCGUAUAUUAAUGUUGUUGCAGUUAAAAAGCUCGUAGUUGGAUUUUGGAAUGGUGUGGCGCGUCCGCCGAAUGGUGUGUAUGUGUCGUGCUAUUCUUCCUGCUGGAGGCCUGGUCUGUACUUUACUGUGCGGGUCAGGAAUUCAGCACUUUUACUUUGAAAAAAUCAGAGUGUUCAAAGCAGGCAAUCGCUUGAAUACAUUAGCAUGGAAUAAUAGAAUAGGACUUUGGUUCUAUUUUGUUGGUUUCUAGAACCGAAGUAAUGAUUAAUAGGGAUAGUUGGGGGCAUUCAUAUUUAAUUGUCAGAGGUGAAAUUCUUGGAUUUAUGAAAGAUGAACUUCUGCGAAAGCAUUUGCCAAGGAUGUUUUCAUUAA
RNAcentral lists this ribosomal RNA (377 nucleotides) under uncultured eukaryote. RNAcentral's name for it is "partial 18S ribosomal RNA". It matches the Rfam family "Eukaryotic small subunit ribosomal RNA", at positions 592 to 976 of the family's 1831-position model. The record is from RNAcentral.